CGAUGUCCGAAUGGGGAAACCCAGUGUGUUCCGACACACUAUCGUUAACUGAAUACAUAGGUUAACGAGGCGAACCGGGGGAACUGAAACAUCUAAGUACCCCGAGGAAAAGAAAUCAACCGAGAUUCCCCCAGUAGCGGCGAGCGAACGGGGAGCAGCCCGGAGUCUGAAUCAGCUUGUGUGUUAGUGGAACGGUCUGGAAAGUCCGACGGUACAGGGUGAUAGUCCCGUACACGAAAAUACACUUGCUGUGAACUCGAAGAGUAGGGCGGGACACGUGGUAUCCUGUCUGAAUAUGGGGGGACCAUCCUCCAAGGCUAAAUACUCCUGACUGACCGAUAGUGAACCAGUACCGUGAGGGAAAGGCGAAAAGAACCCCGGCGAGGGGAGUGAAAAAGAACCUGAAACCGUGUACGUACAAGCAGUGGGAGC
This 432-nucleotide ribosomal RNA is filed under the name Enterobacter hormaechei subsp. xiangfangensis. RNAcentral's name for it is "partial 23S ribosomal RNA". It matches the Rfam family "Bacterial large subunit ribosomal RNA", at positions 108 to 580 of the family's 2925-position model. The record is from RNAcentral. Lineage: Bacteria; Pseudomonadati; Pseudomonadota; Gammaproteobacteria; Enterobacterales; Enterobacteriaceae.